RNAcentral lists this non-coding RNA (447 nucleotides) under uncultured Prevotella sp. Lineage: Bacteria; Pseudomonadati; Bacteroidota; Bacteroidia; Bacteroidales; Prevotellaceae. The record is from RNAcentral.
CGAGCAGGUCUGCCUCGCCAAAGUAUUCGCCGUCGCCCAAUAGAGCAAUCCGUAGGUCUUCGCCGUGUGAACCUUUGCUGACAACUUCUGCCUGUCCGCUGGCAACGAUGAAGAAACGCUGUUUGUCCUUACCCUCUUCUACGAAGUAUUUGUCAACAUCUACCUCUUUUGUCUCGAAAGAACUUACCAGACGGUUCAGUAUCUCGUCGUCGAACUCUGAGAACAGCGGAAUAGCCUUCAGGUUCUUUGCUGUAAAUGAUGGUACGCCGUUUACAUACUGUAUUGGCAGACGGUCGUUCUUACGCAGUUCCACCUUUGUGCGGUUCACGCGGAAAGUACCGCCGCUGACCUGUACCCAUGGUAGGAGUUUUAGCAAGAGUCUUGGGGUGAUGGAGCCCAUCUGUGGGGCGGUCUUGGUAGUGGUAGCCAGUCUUCUGGCAGUAGCAG